This 460-nucleotide ribosomal RNA is filed under the name uncultured bacterium. RNAcentral's name for it is "partial 16S ribosomal RNA". It matches the Rfam family "Bacterial small subunit ribosomal RNA", at positions 338 to 795 of the family's 1533-position model. The record is from RNAcentral.
CCUACGGGUGGCAGCAGUGAGGAAUAUUGGUCAAUGGACGAGAGUCUGAACCAGCCAAGUAGCGUGAAGGAUGAAUGCCCUAUGGGUUGUAAACUUCUUUUAUAUGGGAAUAAAAUGUUCCACGUGUGGGAUUUUGUAUGUACCAUAUGAAUAAGGAUCGGCCAACUACGUGCCAGCAGCCGCGGUAAUAUGGAGGAUCCGAGCGUUAUCCGGAUUUAUUGGGUUUAAAGGGAGCGUAGGUGGAUUGUUAAGUCAGUUGUGAAAGUUUGCGGCUCAACCGUAAAAUUGCAGUUGAUACUGGCAGUCUUGAGUACAGUAGAGGUGAGCGGAAGUCGUGGUGUAGCGGUGAAAUGCUUAGAUAUCACGAAGAACACCGAUUGCGAAGGCAGCUCACUGGAAUACAACUGACGCUGAGGCGCGAAAGUGUGGGUAUCAAACAGGAUUAGAUACCCGAGUAGUC